RNAcentral lists this ribosomal RNA (1454 nucleotides) under uncultured organism. Its description in RNAcentral is "bacterial SSU rRNA". It matches the Rfam family "Bacterial small subunit ribosomal RNA". The record is from RNAcentral.
GAACGAACGCUAGCGGCGUGGAUAAGACAUGCAAGUCGAACGAGAAACCAUUGAGCUUGCUUGACGGUUUCUAGUGGCGGACGGGUGAGUAACACGUGAGCACCUGCCCCGAAGUGGGGGAUAGCCUGCCGAAAGGUGGAUUAAUACCCCAUGUUGCCUCCGGGUAAAAGGUGGCUUCGGCUAUCGCUUCGGGAUGGGCUCGCGGCCUAUUAGCUUGUUGGUAGGGUAACGGCCUACCAAUGCGAUGACGGGUAGCUGGUCUGAGAGGACGAUCAGCCACACUGGAACUGAGACACGGUCCAGACACCUACGGGUGGCAGCAGUCGAGAAUCAUUCACAAUGGGCGCAAGCCUGAUGGUGUGACGCCGCGUGGAGGAUGAAGGCCCUAGGGUCGUAAACUCCUGUCAUCAGGGAGUAAGCCAUGGUCGUUAAUAGCGGCACAUGGUUGAUAGUACCUGAAGAGGAAGGGACGGCUAACUUCGUGCCAGCAGCCGCGGUAAUACGAAGGUCUCAAGCGUUGUUCGGAAUCACUGGGCGUAAAGGGAGCGUAGGCGGUCCGGUAAGUCGGGUGUGAAAGGCAUGGGCUCAACCCAUGGACUGCACUCGAUACUGCCGUGACUUGAGUAGUGGAGGGGAAACCGGAAUUCUCGGUGUAGCAGUGAAAUGCGUAGAUAUCGAGAGGAAGACUCGUGGCGAAGGCGGGUUUCUGGACACUUACUGACGCUGAGGCUCGAAGGCCAGGGUAGCGAAAGGGAUUAGAUACCCCUGUAGUCCUGGCAGUAAACGGUGCGCGCUUGGUGUGGGGGAGUUCGACCCCCUCCGUGCCGGAGCUAACGCGUUAAGCGCGCCGCCUGGGGAGUACGGUCGCAAGACUAAAACUCAAAGAAAUUGACGGGGACCCGCACAAGCGGUGGAGUAUGUGGCUUAAUUCGAUGCAACGCGAAGAACCUUACCUGGGCUUGACAUGCCGUCGUAGUCUGUGAAAGCAGACGUCAGUUCGGCUGGACGUGCACAGGUGCUGCAUGGCCGUCGUCAGCUCGUGUCGUGAGAUGUUCGGUUAAGUCCGGCAACGAGCGCAACCCCUGCGAUUAGUUACCAGCGCGUCAUGGCGGGGACUCUAAUCGGACUGCCCAGAUCAACUGGGAGGAAGGUGGGGACGACGUCAGGUCAGUAUGGCCCUUAUGUCCAGGGCUGCACACGUACUACAAUGUCCGGUACAAUGGGAACCAAUACCGCGAGGUGGAGGAAAUCCACAAAACCGGGCUCAGUUCGGAUUGGAGGCUGCAACUCGCCUCCAUGAAGUUGGAAUCGCUAGUAAUGGCGCAUCAGCUACGGCGCCGUGAAUACGUUCCCGGGUCUUGUACACACCGCCCGUCACAUCAUGGGAGCCGGUCGCACCCGAAGUGUUUCCACCAAGGAAGCCCUAAGGUGUAGCUGUAACUGGGAUGAAGUCG